UGUUUGAGCUCUAGGAGAUGCUGUAGGUGUUGCAUCAUAAAUAAGAGCAUCACUGAAUUCAAAAGCCUCAUGCCCCUCUUCUCUGGCUUCUGUUCUGUUAAUUGUCUCUAAACCUGUACUGCAUGGAGAAGUUGUGGCGUUGUAAAGAGUUCAGACUGAGCACCCCUCAGAGGUCUUUGAGAUUCAAACCAGCAUUGGAAGUGACAGCCCAGAUAACACAGAUGGCUGUGUGCACCAAUAAAGAGGCCAGUUGGAGACCGACUGAAAAUGCACCUU
Long non-coding RNA from Mauremys mutica (yellowpond turtle), 276 nucleotides. RefSeq lists it as uncharacterized. The record is from RefSeq and is a predicted model, not a curated record. NCBI's taxonomy places the organism in Eukaryota, Metazoa, Chordata, Testudines, Geoemydidae. The transcript is spliced from 3 exons.